Long non-coding RNA from Mustela erminea (ermine), 92 nucleotides. RefSeq lists it as uncharacterized. The transcript has 3 exons. The record is from RefSeq and is a predicted model, not a curated record. Lineage: Eukaryota; Metazoa; Chordata; Mammalia; Carnivora; Mustelidae.
UGAAGCUCAACUUUUCUGGAAAAAAAUCAUGCCUUCUGGAUUAUACAGUGGUUUUACAUUUGCUUCUAAAAGCAAAUGAUACAUUUACUUCU